AUACGGAGGAUGCGAGCGUUAUCCGGAUUUAUUGGGUUUAAAGGGAGCGUAGGUGGGAUAUUAAGUCAGCUGUGAAAGUUUGGGGCUCAACCUUAAAAUUGCAGUUGAUACUGGUUUCCUUGAGUACGGUACAGGUGGGCGGAAUUCGUGGUGUAGCGGUGAAAUGCUUAGAUAUCACGAAGAACUCCGAUCGCGAAGGCAGCUCACCGGGCCGGAACUGACACUGAUGCUCGAAAGUGCGGGUAUCAAACAGGAUUAGAUACCCUGGUAGUCCGCACAGUAAACGAUGAAUACUCGCUGUUUGCGAUACACGGUAAGCGGCCAAGCGAAAGCAUUAAGUAUUCCACCUGGGGAGUACGCCGGCAACGGUGAAACUCAAAUGAAUUGACGGGG
This 393-nucleotide ribosomal RNA is filed under the name uncultured bacterium. RNAcentral's name for it is "partial 16S ribosomal RNA". It matches the Rfam family "Bacterial small subunit ribosomal RNA", at positions 523 to 918 of the family's 1533-position model. The record is from RNAcentral.